Molecule: ribosomal RNA, 485 nt
Filed under: uncultured bacterium
Lineage: Bacteria
Description: bacterial SSU rRNA
Rfam family: Bacterial small subunit ribosomal RNA
Source: RNAcentral
AAUCAACGCUGGCGGCGUGCCUCAGACAUGCAAGUCGAACGAUUAAAGCUCUCUUCGGAGAGUGCAUAGAGUGGCGCACGGGUGAGUAACACGUAAGUAAUCUACCUUCGAGUGGGGAAUAACGUCCGGAAACGGGCGCUAAUACCGCAUAAUGCAGCGGCAUCGCAAGAUGACAGUUGUUAAAGGAGCAAUCCGCUUGAAGAGGAGCUUGCGGCAGAUUAGCUAGUUGGUAGGGUAAUGGCCUACCAAGGCUACGAUCUGUAACCGGUCUUAGAGGACGGUCGGUCACACUGACACUGAAUAACGGGUCAGACUCCUACGGGAGGCAGCAGUCGGGAAUUUUGGGCAAUGGGGGAAACCCUGACCCAGCAACGCCGCGUGAAGGAUGAAGUAUUUCGGUAUGUAAACUUCGAAAGAAUAGGAAGAAUUAAUGACGGUACUAUUUAUAAGGUCCGGCUAACUACGUGCCAGCAGCCGCGGUAAUG